RNAcentral lists this ribosomal RNA (472 nucleotides) under uncultured bacterium. RNAcentral's name for it is "bacterial SSU rRNA". It matches the Rfam family "Bacterial small subunit ribosomal RNA", at positions 355 to 825 of the family's 1533-position model. The record is from RNAcentral.
UCGGGAAUUUUGGACAAUGGGCGAAAGCCUGAUCCAGCCAUGCCGCGUGUGUGAAGAAGGUCUUCGGAUUGUAAAGCACUUUAAGUUGGGAGGAAGGGCACUUACCUAAUACGUAUCUGUUUUGACGUUACCGACAGAAUAAGCACCGGCUAACUCUGUGCCAGCAGCCGCGGUAAUACAGAGGGUGCAAGCGUUAAUCGGAAUUACUGGGCGUAAAGCGCGCGUAGGUGGUUUGUUAAGUUGGAUGUGAAAUCCCCGGGCUCAACCUGGGAACUGCAUUCAAAACUGACAAGCUAGAGUAUGGUAGAGGGUGGUGGAAUUUCCUGUGUAGCGGUGAAAUGCGUAGAUAUAGGAAGGAACACCAGUGGCGAAGGCGACCACCUGGACUGAUACUGACGCUGAGGUGCGAAAGCGUGGGGAGCAAACAGGAUUAGAUACCCCCGUAGUCCCUGAGCGGGCUGGCAAGGCGCAU